Molecule: long non-coding RNA, 1045 nt
Filed under: Equus asinus (donkey)
Lineage: Eukaryota; Metazoa; Chordata; Mammalia; Perissodactyla; Equidae
Description: lncRNA (ENSEASG00005034737.1)
Source: RNAcentral
UUCAGAUAUUUCCUAAAGCAAGAAGUUCCUGACAUUGAGGAGACAGCGAUUUGUUGACUGUCUUUAUCCAAAUUUGCUUCCCAGAUCCUCAAUAAUAUAUUUCAUAUAAUAUAUAUUUCAUAUCAGGUUGGUGUUUUGACUCAGUUUUCCAGGUCAUUGAAGGUAAUUGCUUAAAACUCUUUCUCGUGCCUAGACAGACAAGACCUAUAUGUUGGUAAGUUUGGUUUGUUCUUUUUAUAUAAAUCCUGGCAGGAGUAUAUAGAUAACAUUUAUCUUUUUUAUUGCAGUGAUGAUAUGCUCGCUUAAGGAAAUCCAGGAAAUACGGAAAAAAUGCAAAAGAGAAAACUAAAAGGCCCAAACCUUAGGGAGAAUUACUAUUAAUAUUUGCUGGUGGAUGUCCUCCUUUGUGAAAUGCCUGUUCAAGGCUUCUGCCUAUUUUCCUCUUCAGUUGUCUGCUUUUCAUGCUGGGGGCGGUUGGAAGAGGAGGAGUAGCGUAGGAGUUCUUUGUGUCAUUGGAUGAGUUCUCCGUCAGACCACUUGAUCUGGAGGAAGCCAGCUGCCAUAGCAUGAGGACAGUUAGUGGACUAUGAAGAGGCCCAGGUGGUUAGGAAGUGAGGACCUCUGCGAACAGCUGAAGAAGAACUGGCCUUUUGUCAACAGUUCCAUGCUGUUUUUGUACAACAGAAGCUAUAUAAGCACCUACUUACCAGCACAGUACCACAGAUGCUACAAGGGAGAUCCUUUACCAAACGCCACAGUAUCCAACAAAACUGAAGAUACACAUACCACCAGAAAGGUUAUCAGAAUCCUGCUCCUAGACAUGCAUGCAACAGAAAUAGGUGCACAUGUACAUCAAAAGACAUGUAUAUGGAUGUGGAGAAAAGGGAACCCUCCUACACUCUUGGUGGGAUUAUAAAUUGGUGCAGCCACUAUGGAAAACAGUAUGGAAGAUCUUCAAAAAAUUAAAAAUAGAACUGUUACCAGUUUUGAUUCCCUCUCAUGGGACUUAAACCCACAAUUAGAAGGGACCCAAGGAAGAACCCAG